ACAAGUCGCACACCAGCAAUUUUGAAAUGUAAAUAAUGUAAAAAGUGUGUUCAUAUUUAAAAAAAA
RNAcentral lists this ribosomal RNA (66 nucleotides) under Skeletonema costatum. RNAcentral describes it as "partial Eukaryotic small subunit ribosomal RNA". Lineage: Eukaryota; Bacillariophyta; Thalassiosirophyceae; Thalassiosirales; Thalassiosiraceae. The record is from RNAcentral.